UCCUUCUCAGAGUUCCCCUGUGGCUGAGUGGAUUACAGAACUUGAGUCUUGGCUUUUUUCCUAGUUGCAUCUCUCUGCUUACCCGUCCUGAGUUGAGUGUAUUCCAGAUGUAGUCUCGUAACUUCUCAUCUGACACAUCUUUGCCAACUUCCUUCUGCAGCUGUGUCAGCCAAACAAGCACUUCCUGUGGGUAAGAUUUGGAGAAUACAAGAGUGUCAAUGCAUAUGCCAGGAGAGACUGCCAGGAGUGAGAAAAACAUGGAGCAAGAGAAAAAGAAUAAUCUUACCUGAUUUGCCAGCCCAUGUAGGGGCCCUGCCAGCCCAUUCAUGGCUGCUGCAAAGGACAAGUAGGGGUCUGAAAGGGCACUGCCCACCAAAUGGCUGGUAUGAGCACUUACAUUGCCACCUUCAUGGUCACUGUGGGGAAGUAAGAUAAGAGAAUGAAGGCCAAGGCCAAGAGAAAGGAUAAAAGGGGCAGAUUAUGGAAACACAGACCUUGUUGUUCUCUUAUUGUCACAUUCUAGUCUAGCUAUGGGCCCACACCAGCCUAUAGGCAGUCAUUUACACCUAAGUUCCUUUUUUUUUUUGUGGCUGUGCCUACAGCACACAGAAGCUCCAGGGCCAGGGACUGAACCUGAGCCACAGCAGUGACAACGCUGGAUCCUUCACCCAGUGUACCACCAGGAAAUUCCUAUACAUAAGCUCUUUUAAGAGAUGUCCUAAUCUCAUUAUUAGCCUUUGUUCACUAAUCCACAGGGCUGGAGCAGUUACUGGGCGACAAAACCUGGUCUGUGUUUCCCUAAUUCUCACUCCAGUUUUAAUAGCAAUGGCCAGAAGAGGGAGCUCCUGGAAAGCCAAAGGACCCAUCCAAUGGUCAGCUAGUACCUUUUCCUAGCAUGGUUAUGAUAAUUUCUCCAGAUCUCCUGACCUUCUUUAGCAGACCCUUUCUUGCCUUGUAUCAUCCCUUAUGCUGUGUUUCCAUUUCCUUGCUGCUACCACCUGUUCCCAGAAUAUAAGAAUGUUAAGAA
Molecule: long non-coding RNA, 1027 nt
Organism: Phacochoerus africanus (Common warthog)
Lineage: Eukaryota; Metazoa; Chordata; Mammalia; Artiodactyla; Suidae
Exons: 2
Source: RefSeq, a predicted model, not a curated record